RNAcentral lists this ribosomal RNA (279 nucleotides) under uncultured bacterium. Its description in RNAcentral is "partial 16S ribosomal RNA". It matches the Rfam family "Bacterial small subunit ribosomal RNA", at positions 506 to 784 of the family's 1533-position model. The record is from RNAcentral.
UGCCAGCCGCCGCGGUAAUGCGGAGGGAGCUAGCGUUGUUCGGAAUUACUGGGCGUAAAGCGCACGUAGGCGGAUUAGUAAGUUAGGGGUGAAAUCCCGGGGCUCAACCCCGGAACUGCCUCUAAUACUGCUAGUCUUGAGUUCGAGAGAGGUGAGUGGAAUUCCGAGUGUAGAGGUGAAAUUCGUAGAUAUUAGGAAGAACACCAGUGGCGAAGGCGGCUUACUGGACCGGUACUGACGCUGAGGUACGAAAGCGUGGGGAGCGAACAGAAUUAGAUA